Molecule: transfer RNA, 73 nt
Filed under: Canis lupus familiaris (dog)
Lineage: Eukaryota; Metazoa; Chordata; Mammalia; Carnivora; Canidae
Also listed under: 1 other name
Rfam family: tRNA
About the family: Transfer RNA (tRNA) molecules are approximately 80 nucleotides in length.
Source: Rfam by way of RNAcentral
GCCUGGCUGGCUCAGUCGGUAGAGCAUGAGACUCUUGAUCUUGGGGUCAUGAGUUUGAGCCCCAUGUUGGGGG